UCCCGGCAGUCCAAGUCGCAGCCACAGUUAUUGGGUCUAAAACAUCCGUAGCUUGCUUUGCAAGUCUGUUGUGAAAUUCUGUCUCUUAAGGGCAGAAAUGGCAAUAGAUACUGCUUAGCUAGAGACUGGGGGACGCGAGAAGUACAUUUGAGGUAGUGGUAAAAUACGUUAAUCUCAGGUGGACUAACGAUUAGCGAAGGCAUCUCGCGAUAACAGUUCUGACAGUGAGGGAUGAAGGCUAGGGGCGCAAAUU
RNAcentral lists this ribosomal RNA (253 nucleotides) under uncultured archaeon. Its description in RNAcentral is "partial 16S ribosomal RNA". It matches the Rfam family "Archaeal small subunit ribosomal RNA", at positions 474 to 725 of the family's 1478-position model. The record is from RNAcentral.